This 397-nucleotide long non-coding RNA is filed under the name Mytilus galloprovincialis (Mediterranean mussel). The record is from RNAcentral. Lineage: Eukaryota; Metazoa; Mollusca; Bivalvia; Mytilida; Mytilidae.
UGGUUGGAAUUCAUGUUCAGCGUUCGUUGUCAUGACAAAUCAAUUGUUUGCAAAUAGCCUCUUCUCCGUGCAUUUAUUACCAUGAGUUGAUAAGGUCUUUUUAAAUUAUUUUCAUUUUUGAAAUUAAAGUUUUAUUAACUCUGAGCGAUGUAACGUCAAAGAGAUUGUUUUUAAUGACAAUGUCGUUCGCCUUUGCUAUUGUUUGAUUGAUGGUUGGGUGGAAUUUUGUCUUUAUUUUCUUUAGCCGUAACGCUUUUAUAAACGAAUGAGUUGAAAACUUUAAACAUUUUUUGCAAUUAAAUGUAUAAUAGGAAAUAACAAUUGACAAACGUCACGACGUUAUUAAGUCCAUAAACAUUAAACAAACUUUCUGAAACAAUGUUUUGUCUUUCUUUUU